Mauremys reevesii (Reeves's turtle) is the source of this 754-nucleotide long non-coding RNA. RefSeq lists it as uncharacterized. The record is from RefSeq and is a predicted model, not a curated record. The transcript has 2 exons. Lineage: Eukaryota; Metazoa; Chordata; Testudines; Geoemydidae.
UAAUAUUAGUCCAUAACUGAAAGUAACUGCUGGAACUUCUAUAACCUUUAGCAAGAAUUCGUUACUCAGCAACAAUUAACACACCUAUAAAAAGUAACACAUUUCAGUGCAAAAUUCGGUUAGAUCUUGUAGAAAUAGCUUAUAUUUUCCAGAAUUUGUCUUCUUUCCAGGAUCAUUUUGGCAUUUCUGCCUCUUAUACGUAUGAGACACAUUGUUGAAGAUUUGCUUUGGGAUCCAAAAUAUUUAAAUUCAUCAUGAAACCUUGCAAAAUGGUCGCGGCAGCAGCAUGGAGAGUAGGGAGGACCAGAUCUUCUGCAAGAGGUUCCAGCUCCUCAUGGGGAUUCCCCAGCAUCCCCAGGCCAGCUGGGAGAUAUGAUCCCUCCAGCGUGUCAAAAUAUCUGUGCCUUCUUUUAUAAAAUGGAUAUGAUCCUGACAUAUUAAAGUGGUAUUGUGAGGCAUAGUGUUUCUAAAUACCGUUUGAGAACAUCAGAGGAAAAGAAUUUUGUAAAUGCAAAGUAUAGUUAACAAUAGUUAUUAUAGUGAAGUAUCUUUACCAUGCAUGUGCGUCAUACUUAAGGCUGUGUGUCUGUCACUGACGUCACAGAAGUCACGGAUUCUGUGACUUUCUGUGACCUCCGUGACUUUUGCAACUGGCUCAGGGGCUACCCGAAAAGUUGAUGUUGGGACAAUACCAAAUUAUUAUUAAGCAACUAUAAAUUGCUGUGACUGAUAUGAAUAAAUGUGGCAAGCAUGA